GAUGAACGCUGGCGGCGUGCCUAAUACAUGCAAGUCGAGCGAACAGACGAGGAGCUUGCUCCUCUGACGUUAGCGGCGGACGGGUGAGUACACGUGGAUAACCUACCUAUAAGACUGGGAUAACUUCGGGAAACCGGAUCUAAUACCGGAUAAUAUAUUGAACCGCAUGGUUCAAUAGUGAAAGACGGUUUUGCUGUCACUUAUAGAUGGAUCCGCGCCGCAUUAGCUAGUUGGUAAGGUAACGGCUUACCAAGGCAACGAUGCGUAGCCGACCUGAGAGGGUGAUCGGCCACACUGGAACUGAGACACGGUCCAGACUCCUACGGGAGGCAGCAGUAGGGAAUCUUCCGCAAUGGGCGAAAGCUUGACGGAGCAACGCCGCGUGAGUGAUGAAGGUCUUCGGAUCGUAAAACUCUGUUAUUAGGGAAGAACAAAUGUGUAAGUAAAUAUGCACGUCUUGACGGUACCUAAUCAGAAAGCCACGGCUAACUACGUG
This 496-nucleotide ribosomal RNA is filed under the name uncultured bacterium. Its description in RNAcentral is "partial 16S ribosomal RNA". It matches the Rfam family "Bacterial small subunit ribosomal RNA", at positions 28 to 507 of the family's 1533-position model. The record is from RNAcentral.